ACAAACACACACAAAGUGUGGAUUAUAACAGCAUUGACAGGGAAACUUGGAAGUCAAAGUAAAAAAUGCCAAAUUUUAAUUGCAUCUCCUGGCUUUUUGAGGGUCAAAGUAUUCAAAAUUUCCCUCUGAAGCACACUAAAUUUCGAACACUCCCUCGCCACAUCUCCGUUGAUUAGGCGUAAAAAAAACAUGUGGUUCUGGUUUCAUAUCGUGAAAAAAUUAGGGUCGGUAGGUCGGAAAUAUUUUUUUUUUAAUAUUUUUUUCAUGGUUUUGGCAGUUUUUUGCUGGGCGAUUUGCAGUAGAGUCCCAACAUCAGUAUUAACUAGAGAUGCGUAUUUCCUAUGGACGAAUUUAGGCAAUUUGGUUCAAUAAUUAGUGUGACAACAGACGCCAUUUUGGCACGCUGUAUGAGCAGCCCACAACCACCUGGAGAAAAUAGGGUCGCACAGUCAAUCGUGUUGAAAAAAUAAUAGGGUCG
Non-coding RNA from Paramuricea clavata, 478 nucleotides. NCBI's taxonomy places the organism in Eukaryota, Metazoa, Cnidaria, Anthozoa, Malacalcyonacea, Plexauridae. The record is from the annotation of a GenBank genome assembly.